RNAcentral lists this ribosomal RNA (253 nucleotides) under uncultured bacterium. RNAcentral describes it as "partial 16S ribosomal RNA". It matches the Rfam family "Bacterial small subunit ribosomal RNA", at positions 524 to 776 of the family's 1533-position model. The record is from RNAcentral.
UACGAAGGGGGCUAGCGUUGCUCGGAAUCACUGGGCGUAAAGCGCACGUAGGCGGAUCUUUAAGUCAGGGGUGAAAUCCUGGAGCUCAACUCCAGAACUGCCUUUGAUACUGGGGAUCUCGAGUCCGGAAGAGGUGAGUGGAACUCCGAGUGUAGAGGUGAAAUUCGUAGAUAUUAGGAAGAACACCAGUGGCGAAGGCGGCUCACUGGCCCGGUACUGACGCUGAGGCGCGAAAGCGUGGGGAGCAAACAGG